GAUCUUUAUUUUUAUUUUUUAUAAAUUAAAUAAAUUUGAAAUUUUUAUAAUAAAAUUAAAAAUUUUGUUGGGGUGAUAUAAAAAUUUAAUUAACUUUUUAAUUUUUAUUACAUAAAUAUAUGAAUAAUUGAUCCAAUUUUAUUGAUUAAAAAUUUAAGUUACCUUAGGGAUAACAGCGUAAUUUUUUUUUAGAGUUCAUAUCGACAAAAAAGAUUGC
RNAcentral lists this ribosomal RNA (217 nucleotides) under Wyeomyia testei. Its description in RNAcentral is "partial 16S ribosomal RNA". Lineage: Eukaryota; Metazoa; Arthropoda; Insecta; Diptera; Culicidae. The record is from RNAcentral.